AGCGCAGGCGGGACUGCAAGUUGGAUGUGAAAUGCCGCAGCUUAACUGCGGAGCUGCAUCCAAAACUGUAGUUCUUGAGUGGAGUAGAGGCAAGCGGAAUUCCGAGUGUAGCGGUGAAAUGCGUAGAUAUUCGGAGGAACACCAGUGGCGAAGGCGGCUUGCUGGGCUCUAACUGACGCUGAGGCUCGAAAGUGUGGGGAGCAAACA
This 207-nucleotide ribosomal RNA is filed under the name uncultured bacterium. RNAcentral describes it as "partial 16S ribosomal RNA". It matches the Rfam family "Bacterial small subunit ribosomal RNA", at positions 568 to 774 of the family's 1533-position model. The record is from RNAcentral.